Molecule: transfer RNA, 85 nt
Filed under: Mesorhizobium sp.
Lineage: Bacteria; Pseudomonadati; Pseudomonadota; Alphaproteobacteria; Hyphomicrobiales; Phyllobacteriaceae
Description: tRNA-Leu
Rfam family: tRNA
About the family: Transfer RNA (tRNA) molecules are approximately 80 nucleotides in length. Their secondary structure includes four short double-helical elements and three loops (D, anti-codon, and T loops). Further hydrogen bonds mediate the characteristic L-shaped molecular structure. tRNAs have two regions of fundamental functional importance: the anti-codon, which is responsible for specific mRNA codon recognition, and the 3' end, to which the tRNAs corresponding amino acid is attached (by aminoacyl-tRNA synthetases). tRNAs cope with the degeneracy of the genetic code in two manners: having more than one tRNA (with a specific anti-codon) for a particular amino acid; and 'wobble' base-pairing, i.e. permitting non-standard base-pairing at the 3rd anti-codon position.
Source: RNAcentral
GCGGAUGUGGUGGAAUUGGUAGACACCCUGGAUUUAGGUUCCAGUGCCGAAAGGCGUGGAGGUUCGAGUCCUCUCAUCCGCACCA